This is a long non-coding RNA of Oncorhynchus tshawytscha (Chinook salmon), 310 nucleotides long. Lineage: Eukaryota; Metazoa; Chordata; Actinopteri; Salmoniformes; Salmonidae. The record is from Ensembl.
UUUGUCUUCUGUUUCUAGGCCCAUUUCUAGGUGUCAUCGACGGUCAGCCAGCAUACACGGUGAGACGCCUCCUGAGGGUUCGACCAUGGGGCUUGGGUUUCCAGGACCUGGUUGACUGUGGGUUAUGGGCAGGAGGAGAGGUGCUGGGUUCCCACUAAAGACGUCCUGGACCCGACCGUUGUCACCGCCGGCACCCCGGUCAGCCAGGUGGUGCCCAGGUAGGACGCCACUUGGUGCCCAGGUAGAACGCCAGGUGGUACCCAGGUAGAACGCCAGGUGGUGCCCAGGUAGAACGCCAGGUGGUGCCCAG